RNAcentral lists this ribosomal RNA (497 nucleotides) under uncultured bacterium. RNAcentral's name for it is "partial 16S ribosomal RNA". It matches the Rfam family "Bacterial small subunit ribosomal RNA", at positions 28 to 507 of the family's 1533-position model. The record is from RNAcentral.
GAUGAACGCUGGCGGCGCGCCUAAUACAUGCAAGUCGAGCGAACAGACGAGGAGCUUGCUCCUCUGACGUUAGCGGCGGACGGGUGAGUAACACGUGGAUAACCUACCUAUAAGACUGGGAUAACUUCGGGAAACCGGAGCUAAUACCGGAUAAUAUAUUGAACCGCAUGGUUCAAUAGUGAAAGACGGUUUUGCUGUCACUUAUAGAUGGAUCCGCGCCGCAUUAGCUAGUUGGUAAGGUAACGGCUUACCAAGGCAACGAUGCGUAGCCGACCUGAGAGGGGGAUCGGCCACACUGGAACUGGGACACGGUCCAGACUCCUACGGGAGGCAGCAGUAGGGAAUCUUCCGCAAUGGGCGAAAGCCUGACGGAGCAACGCCGCGUGAGUGAUGAAGGUCUUCGGAUCGUAAAACUCUGUUAUUAGGGAAGAACAAAUGUGUAAGUAACUAUGCACGUCUUGACGGUACCUAAUCAGAAAGCCACGGCUAACUACGUG